Molecule: ribosomal RNA, 468 nt
Filed under: uncultured bacterium
Lineage: Bacteria
Description: partial 16S ribosomal RNA
Rfam family: Bacterial small subunit ribosomal RNA
Source: RNAcentral
GACGAACGCUGGCGGCGUGCUUAACACAUGCAAGUCGAACGGAAAGGGCCUGGUUUGGUGGUGUGCUCUAGUGGCGAACGGGUGAGUAACACGUGAGUAACCUGCCCUUGACUUUGGGAUAACUUCAGGAAACUGGGGCUAAUACCGGAUAGGAGCUCCUGCGGCAUGGGUGGGGGUGGAAAGGUUCUGCGGUUGGGGAUGGACUCGCGGCUUAUCAGCUUGUUGGUGGGGUAGUGGCUUACCAAGGCGUUGACGGGUAGCCGGCCUGAGAGGGUGACCGGCCACAUUGGGACUGAGACACGGGCCAGACUCCUACGGGGGGCAGCAGUGGGGAAUAUUGCACAAUGGGCGGAAGCCUGAUGCAGCAACGCCGCGGGGGGGAGGACGGCCUUCGGGUUGUAAACCCCUUUUAGCCGGGAAGAAGCGAAAGGGACGGGACAUGCAGAAAAAGCGCCGGCUAACUACGUG